RNAcentral lists this ribosomal RNA (253 nucleotides) under uncultured bacterium. RNAcentral's name for it is "partial 16S ribosomal RNA". It matches the Rfam family "Bacterial small subunit ribosomal RNA", at positions 524 to 776 of the family's 1533-position model. The record is from RNAcentral.
UACGAAGGGUGCAAGCGUUACUCGGAAUUACUGGGCGUAAAGCGUGCGUAGGUGGUUCGUUAAGUCUGAUGUGAAAGCCCUGGGCUCAACCUCGGAAUGGCAUUGGAAACUGGCGACCUAGAGUGCGGUAGAGGGUAGUGGAAUUCCCGGUGUAGCAGUGAAAUGCGUAGAGAUCGGGAGGAACAUCCGUGGCGAAGGCGACUACCUGGACCAGCACUGACACUGAGGCACGAAAGCGUGGGGAGCAAACAGG